CCCCGGCUCCUCCGAGCUCCGUCUCCUCAUCCGCAGUGCUGGGCUUCUCAUCCGUGUCUACUUAGAAGGGUUGCUGAGAACCACACGUGAUGGUUGUCAGGGGUGAUUUGUGGUUGUCCCUGUGUUUGACAUAUAGUCAGUAUUUGAUAGAAACACAUGUUUUUUUAUAGUUCUGGCUUCUACAUUGCAGUGGUUUUUAGUCUGCAUUUUUUUAUAACUUUUUUCUUAUUUUUAAAUAAGCACUUUUUUGGGGGGGGGAUUACUGGGGAUUGAAGCCAGCACAUUGUGCAUGGUAAGCAAGUGCUCUACAACUGAGUAAUAACCACCCUCCUUGUCUUCACUUAAAAAUAAAUAUUGCAAUACACAAAAUAGCUCUUAAACACCAUCAUGGGACCUAUUUUCUGUAUAGACAAUUGAAUACAUAUGCUAUUUCAAUAAGAAUAAAUGUUGGGACAUACAUUUCUGAAACUGAUUUACUUGUUUAAAAACGAUAAUAGCUAGUGAUAAACACGAGUCUUGGAUCCAGUACUUCUUAGGGUCUGCUUUGACAUCAUGGGAAAUUACAUUCUACAGAGAAGGCAAAUUGGGUCUCGUUGAUAUUUGGAUGAUUUAGCAGAUGAUCAAGUCUUUCAAAACUUGACAGUUUUGUAUUUUAAACUAACUGCAAAGUUAUCUUCUAGAAGUUGGAAUUCCUAAGCUUGUGAAGUGCUCAGUAAUUCAGUGUGUAUGUGUUUGUGUCUGUGUGAACGUGUUUGUGUGUGAUUUCAGGAAGGUAGAAAUAAGUUCCAUGUAGCCCUCUGAUACCUUCCUCCUCCAGUUCAAGAUGUAGGCAUAUAUUUACACAAAUAAAUUGAUAUUCUUUUGUUAUUUGGCAUAUUGGAAAUAAGAGGUUGUCAUACUUGUUUCAGAAGGGUUGGGGAGCAUGAGCUUAGAAAACGGGAGGAGAAAGAGGCCGGGAGGCACUUCACACUCUGUGCAGGAUUUGAGGAACAGUAGCUUUUCUUUUUUCUUCUAAAGCAAACUGGCGCUGAAUUGUAACAUACUAUUACUCAGAAUUGCUUUUCUGAUCAGAUACAAGUGCCUCAGAGUUUUCAAGGCAACAUGAAUGAUGAAAUCCGUUUUAGGAGUUAUCUUUAAAGUAGUGUUAAUUUUCAAGUAAAAGGCUAUAGCCUGUUCUUUCUUCGAAGGGUAAAAGACGUUCUCAUUGAUCCAAGUGCAUGAUCAAUGUGCUUAGUUUCUUUGGGGUUUUUUUCUUUUUUUUUAAGUGCUUGUUUCAUUGUGGUUUGAAUGAAUGUUUAAAAUUUCUGAAUUUUGUUCUUUAGAACAUGCUGAUUUAUCAGAACUUUUAAAAACCUGAUUGAUUUUUCGUCUUUGUUUGGAGGGGCACCCUUUUGAUUUCUGUUGUCUGUUAAAGAGGGAAAUUCUUCCUCUAGCCUGCAGAUCAUUAAGCGAAUGGUUUGUAGUGUGCCUUUAAAAUUCUUUGAAUGCUUUGAGCAUGCUUGUCUAGUGAAUUUUGGAUUGACUCAUAGUAAUGACUUUGCUUUGAUUCUGUGGCUUUUGCUCCUCUCCGCAAGAAUUUGAAUUCUCUGUUGCAUUUUGUAUACGUGUUUUUAACAGGGGAAGAAAUUUUACAUUUUUUACAAAGGUGGGUUUUCCUAUCCCCUCUGAAUGCCUUCUAUAAUUGAUACAACAAAAAUCUGUUAUUGUAGUGCUUAAUUAUUUCAUAAACUAAUUUUUGGCUUAAUCAGAAGCAAUGAGAAAGAGUGAUAAUAAAAAAUAUGAAAACCUUCCUUCCUUUGAAGAAUAGAAAUGAGGUGGUCAGGCUCACGCAUGCUUUGUGCUUGACACACUUACUUUCAUGUCAUUGUGUAUCAUGAUUCGGAGAUGGAGUUGCUUCAUGUUUUAUAGAUUUUUGUUUGAAGAUUUUUGUUGAAUUCUUUCUCCAGGCUGAUGUUUCCUGUUGGGUUUGUGGAAAGCGUAGAAGGAAAACAAAUUCUUUGUUUUAUUUUCAGGAGGCCUGAGUUGCUGAUGAGAAAAGAGUUGAGUGUGGGCUGAGGAACAGAGUGACACUCCCUCUCGUCCCGGCUGAAACUGAUGAACAAUGAAAUCAAUUAAGUGUAUCAGUAUUUGACCAAUAGAAUUCAGCGAGCUCAAACUGGCAAGUUAUGCCCAAUGGAAAGUACUGAAUUCACCUGCAGAAUUAGUAAAUAUAGGAGCAUUUGAGAGGCUCGUGGAGUUGGCUCCCUACUCCUUCUCUUUUUCUGGACUUUUCCCACAGAGACUUGAAUAAUCAUUCCGUGUCGGUACGACUUCUGCCAGCCAUAACCCACAGUUCCAGAUCGUUUUGGUUACUGAGACCCUCGAAUUCCCAUAUGAAUUACAACAGCAGCUAAUCAGUUUUUGCAGAGGAGCCCGCUAGGAUUGUGAUCGAGACCACGUAGAAUAUACGGAUCACUCUGGGGAGCACUGCCAUUCCAAGAGCACUGUCUUCUGAUCCAGGAAUGUACGUGGCGUGUCUGUCCAGGUGCCCUCAUAUCCAGUGGCAUCCAUCCAGACACCAACACUGACACUGGCCAUGCUCAGAACUGCCUCAGCCCUGAAGACACAGGAUCGCCCGUUCUACAUUGUGUGGUGCUGCUGCAGUGUCUCCUAGUUAUUUGUUUCUCUGUCCACGUGGGUCAAAUCAUGGUGCCCCUCUAAAACCUCCAAAAAAUAAUCAAAGUUGAUUCUCUAUUUUGCGACUUGCCAUCUCAACAUAAGUGCAGAAGAGUUAACAUCGUGAAAGAUCAGAGCCCGGAGAAUAGGCUCUCCUGGAUAUUUCAGGCUAAAGGCAACUUUCUUUUACAAAAGGUACAGAGCUACCAAGUCUGAGCCUAGAAAACAGCAAAGGUUUAAAGCCAAAGGAACAGAUCUAACAUGCAGUCAAAUUUAUUCUUUUCUAUUACAAUUUCUUUUUCCACCUCAUAAAUAAUUUUAGUAAGAAACAUGAGCAAUUUUUUUACUUUUGCUUCUUAGUAAAGGAUAAGUGGGCCAAAUAAAUUUAUGAGAGCAGGGAUGCUGUGUGGGCAUUGGGGUCACAGCAAACUCUUGUUGGGGGUGGUCGACUCUGCAACAUGUCUGAUGCCCCGUGGGUGUUGGUGAGGGACCCCAUAACCAGGGGCUCUCUUCAGGAACCAGCAUAUGGGCAUUGACCUCUGGAGACCUCUUUUACAGCUGCCGGAAAUUUUUUCAGAUACUGUGACUGAAAAACCACUUCAGCUGGUGAUAAUUAGGGAAUAAAGGAAGAGGAAAAGGGCUUUGAUUAGAUUACAAGAGAAGGACAGAAUAUCAGGGAACCUGGGGGCUUGGCAGUGGGUCCUUGGGAGAGAGGGGAGCAGAGGUGGGGAGGGGCACGACUCUGGAACCAGCUCCUGCACCUGUCCCAGGGCCCAAGUCACACAGCUUUUAAUUGGCCCAGGACGCUCUCCUGUCUGGAUGUCACCCUGGGCAGAACCUUGAGAAUCGAAGGUAAGGGGUGGGCAGCACUCACCUAGGGGAUCACUGAGGACUUAGUUCAAGUCCACGGUGCCUUUUCUGGUCAUGUGUCUUCACUUGCCCUUUAUCUUAGGAUCUGAGAAGCAGGAGCAAGGAACGCAGGGAGAGAUCCAGUAAGACAUCUGACUGUGUUAAGAGACGACAGUCAUAGCCACACCGGGAGCGAGGACACUUGCAGCAAAGUAAAACGACUUCACAACUAUUGCAUCAGAGCUGCCGGUGUGAGAGAGCCUAAGCCUGUCUCAGAGUGCAGGGGACAAGCAGAAAGGAAUGUGUAAGAAUGCUGGUGCCUGAGUUAGAAGCAUGCUUCAAAGCUGUCCGUGUCCUUGCCAUCCAGAAGCAGAGCCUGGGAGCUUCCUAAUUUCUCCAGAAUGGGGUUUACAUUCAUCUUCGACAGUUAACAGGAAACAUAACACAGGACUCCAGAUUUAGGGAGAGAAUGCAAAAAACUACUAUCAUACUCCAUCCAGUAAGGACAAGUGUCCCUGCGUCACCAAAGCAAUGAGAAUUUGCACAAAGAAAACACAGUUCUCCAAUUGUGACAAAUACUAGACCGUGAGCCAUGAGUUACGAGAACAAGCAACUGUUUAAAUGCCAUGGGCAAAUUUUUUUUAUCAUCUUGAAAACAUCACUGAUGUUCUAGGAUGAAAUUCUUGAAGACGACUCCCUGACCUGAAGGGAUGGAUGGAGGAGUAAAGAAAAGAAGACAAGCAUCUUUGGCCCAUAAAAAAUGAGAGGGCAUGCUAUUUUUUUUAAAUCAAAUGAGGAGGUAUUCGCAAGCCAAUGGACAACGGAAUUACCUAAGGAGACAUUAUAAAGCAGCAAGAGCAACUAGCAUUUUGACAAGCAUUCUGCCUGAGAGUCACUCGUACCAUCUCAUUUUGACCUGGCCACUUGGAGUUCAGGCUGAAUUCAUACUACUUAUGAGGAGAAGUCCUGAGGCCGAGGAGAGAGGGGAAGAUAGUCCAGACAUAAACAAUUUCAAGAGAUCCACUUCAUCAAGGAAGCAAAGUAUUAAAUAAACAACUUCAACAACAAGCUUGUCAAUAAACCUUGGUGUCUCUGUCUCUGCCUGAAGGAGGGUAAGCCCUCCAACCCAUCUGCCUUCCAGCCACAUACCCUGGAUGAUCUUGGUUCAAUCACCUGUGACACGUGUGUUCUCCAGGAAAUCUUUGUAGAGAUUAAACGAUAAAACUAUAUGCAUAGGGGAUACUUAUUUGUUAAGCAGUAGGCACUAAACAAAUAAUAAAAUUAUUUUAUUUCAUGAAAAUGGGAGAUAGGUCUCCCAAUUAAACAUUCCUGACAGAAUCCCAACAAGCACUUUAAUUUAUCUGCCAGAAAUUGUAAAAUAACAUUUCUUUUUAAAGGCUGUAUCCAUUCUCCCUACUUUUUACCAAUCCUGGCUGUUAUCCUGAAAAUCUAUUCCCAGAACUUGGCAUCCAUCUCCCAUAUUUAAAUCCUUUAAGUUUGAAAUUAUGAUGAAGCUUGGGCACAUAAAGAUUCACACCAUAAUUCACAGAAUAAACAAAGACCACAGGAACAGGGCCACUUCCAGACCCCAUGUGCUCAGGACAGGCUCCAAACUUCAUAAAAUCAGAUGCAUGCUGUUUGAAGGGAAAGAAAAUUGAAUGUGAUCAAGGAGGCUGACAUAGAGCACUGGCUGGCUCAAGAGACGACUCCUUCAACCCCUCGUCUGACUUAAGUCAUCUAACAGUUAUCAGGUGAUCUCUAACUAAAAGUAAAACAGGGGUAGGGUUGAAAAGUAAUUUUUUUCCUA
Molecule: long non-coding RNA, 5311 nt
Organism: Camelus dromedarius (Arabian camel)
Lineage: Eukaryota; Metazoa; Chordata; Mammalia; Artiodactyla; Camelidae
Exons: 11
Source: RefSeq, a predicted model, not a curated record